Homo sapiens (human) is the source of this 5363-nucleotide long non-coding RNA. RefSeq lists it as uncharacterized. Lineage: Eukaryota; Metazoa; Chordata; Mammalia; Primates; Hominidae. The transcript has 2 exons. The record is from RefSeq and is a predicted model, not a curated record.
ACCUCAGGUGAUCCACCCUUUUUGACCUCCCAAAGUGCUGUGAUUAUAGGCAUGAGCCACCGUGCCUGGCCUAGAAUAGUUUUCUUACUCCCCCAAAACUGCUUUAUGCUGCCUUUUUGUAGUCAAACUAUCUGCCUGCCCUUAACCCCAGCUCCCCCGCAUUAGAAACCACUGAACCUCUGAUCUGUUCUUCACCUUAAAGCUUUCCCUUUUCCAGGGUGUAGCGUAUGUGGAAUUAUAGAGUAUGUCACCUUUCAAGUCUGGCUUCUUUCAUCUAGUGUAAUGCAUUUGAGAUUUAUCUAUGUUGUCGGAUGUAUCAGUAAGUUUGUGUCUUAGCAGUGCUGAGAAGUAUUCCUUUGCAUGGAUGUACCCAGAUCUGUUUAUCCAUUCAUCAGUUAGAGGACAACUGGGUUGUUUCCAGUUUGGGGUGAUUACAAAUAAAGCCACGAUGUACAAGCACCUCUAGGUUUUGGGUGAACAUAAGUUUUCAUUUCUCUUAAGUUUCAAUACCUAGGAGAAUGAUUGCUAGGUCAAUGGUAAGAGCGUGUAUAAUGCUACAAGAAAGUGCUAAACUGUUUUCCAAAGUGAGUGUAGCAUUUUGUAUCCCCGCUAGCAAUGAAAUGAGAGCUCCGCUUGCUCUGUAAGAGGCAUUAGUGAAUAUGAAAGUGCUUUGUAAAGACUAAGGGUGUCUCACAGUGUGCCCAGGCGGGAGGAUUCAGAGGGGGCAUUUCUAAACUCUAAACUCCUGUGGGCUCCUAGCCCAUCCUUCUGAAUGGGGACAGAAUACUUCCAUUUCCAGGUUACUUGCUUCUCCAAAAGGGAGACAGGGAAGUAUCCUUCUCUUUUUGCAAAUGAGGGCACAGCACUGCCUCUCGUGGUUGAGCCAGUCAUUAUUCAGUAGGAACAGCAGUGAGAUUCUCCAGCCUUCUAUUUUAUUCCUGGGGUCACAGAGUAAAAUGCAGCGUGAUCAUUUGGAGCAUUCUUAUGCUUUGUGACAAGAACAAAGCCAGUGGAAACAGCCAUGUGUCCAAUCAGAAUGUCAGAGCUGGCAGGGACCUUAGCAAUUGUCACUUUACAGAUGAUAACCUAUUACAUCCCCAGGUCCCCAGAAUCCCAGCCCAGGACUCACUCCCUCAGCCUUCCUGGAUUGUCCUGGGUGGAACAAGAUCAGCUCAUUUAGCACAUAGUCUUCCAGAACACAAGGCAGUGUCCCACCAAGGUUGGAUGGGACCAGCUUCUCUAUCCACAGUAGCUGUGCACACAGAGACAGAAAUGAAGCCGUACUGCCGGGUGCACCGUGGCCAGAGAUCCUCCUUCCUGGUAUAUACUCCCGGAGCCAUUGCUUCUUUCAUUUCAGUGCCCAUUUCUGAGGCACCUUCACAUUUCAAACGUCCUGAGAAUAUGUUUAAUUAGAACUUGGCCAUACAGCCUUUUAAAACAAAACAGAAGGGACCAGCUAAUUAUAUCACUCAGCAUUCUGUGGCAAACAUAUAUUUUUUAAUAAAACACUUUCCUAACCAGAGUAAUCCCUGGAGAUGCAAAUCCUCAUUUAUAAGAAGUUUCCCAAAGGGAGUUAAAGAGAAGAUGCCUUAUAAAGAAAAGAGACAAAGAGAGUGGGGAAGUGUUUUCAAAGAGCUUUUAAAAGAUACACUCAUUCUGAGGUUGAAUUACAGAUAUUUUAAGGGUACCAAAUUUUAUUUCAGAUGUAAUCCUUUCCUGUGUUUUUGAUCAUGUAUUUCCGUUUUUUCCCUUUUUGAUCAUUGCCACAAAUGCCCAUAUUUCUCUUUCUGGUGUCUUUCAUAAGUGCAAUAUUUAAAUAAACAAGGGAUUUUCCCAAAAUGCACCUCAUCUCCUACUCUUUGUCAUUUCCUUGUCUUGCUCUGUAAAUAACCGUGUGUCUCACAGCAGAGCUUACACAGAAUGGAUGUGGGGCAGUCUGUGGUCCUGGGGAGGGCCUUCCCUGUAAUCUCUGCAGCCCAGGACAGGGAGAGGGAAGAUUUAGAUCCUGCUGCGGCAUGUCUUCAGGAGUGGAGGUCAGCUUGGGACAUUUACGUUCAUGAGGCAGCCGCAGAGGGUCAGAGCAAUAAUUGUGCCAGCUGAUGUUUGCUGCGGGGUUUACUCCAAGCCAGGCCACACGCUAAGAAAUUAGGUAUCGUACCUCAUUUAAUCCUCACAAUCCUCACAAAAUGUAGUUGUUUUGCUCCAUUUUGCAGAUGAAGAAGACGAGGCUUGAGAGACGAAGGAAUGAAUGAAGGGUCUCACAGCUGUUAGAAGGGUUAGAUCUUGUAUUUGGACUCAGGUCUGCCUGCCCUGGAACUUGACUCUCCCACACCUGGUGCUGGGCACACUAGGAGACGUCACAAGGCUCAGAGAUGCCACCCUUCCUAGAACGGGCGCCGUGCCUCUCUUCUCCACACACUGCAGGGGAGACAGGCACUGUGUUUUCAGAUAAGUUCCAUGUGCAUCAGGGGCUCGGUGGGAAAGGGAGGACACACUCAGAUUAGGAUUAUUCAUGGAGGAUUCUCCAAAGAGGCUAUUUGGAAAGACGGAGGGAAUGGUGAAGGAAAGCACAAGAGAAAAUGGACAGAACCGUUACUUCCUCACGCCUGAAGGGGAUGGGUUACUGGAAGCCAGGAGGAGAGUGUGAUAAGAGCCACUUUUAGAGGAGCUUUCACCUUCAGGAGAAAGUCAGGGCCCAAGAAGACCCACAGGGAGGUGACCAGGGAAUGGCAUACUUGGACUACCCUCUCUUCUGUUCCUCCACUCUCCUGCCAGGGCUCCACAUUGGAUAAACCCCUGCAGGGGCGAGUGAAACUGCCACCCAGGUUUGCCUCCCAGGGCACAGCCCAUGGAGAGCUCUAAGGCAAGUGGCAGAAAACUAGCACAGGUGCAGUGCGUCUUGCAAAGCACCCAGCCUAUGCCGGCCCUGGGCUAGAAAUGGGAAGAGAGGAGACCAUGGCACUGCCCUCAAAGAUCUUAGAGUCUGUGGAGGAGUCAGGCAGAGAGAGGGGGUGUUCCCUUGGCAAAGGACUCCAUGAGCAGAUGCAGGCCAUGGGCGACGCUCCUGCAGAAGCUUUGGGGUUUGCCGCAUGUGCCUGGAAGGAGCGCGCCCACCUUGACAUGCCUCGCCUCCUGUUGCCAUUGACAACGUGAAGGCAAACUCCUGGGGCUGGGCCUUUUUCCUUGAGAUAAAAUAUGUAUAAUUCUCUGUUAUCAAAUGAUUAUUAAACAAAAUCUAAUUGAAAAAAUAGAAAGAAGAAAAGAUAAGUCAUUUAUCAUCCUGUUCUCCAAAGACAACUGUGAACAGCUUGGUGGAACUCCUUCCAGUGGCUUUCCUUGGAGCUUUGCCUCUGUGGAUGUGGAAAACCUUAAGACCUUUGUUGGACCAACUGGGGAAGAAUUUCUUUCCUGCUCAGGCUGCUCAGCUGAUAGAGUGCUGGCCUGGAGCAGCUGAAAGACACUUUGCUGCUUUCUGGAGAAUGAAGCCACUGGGAAACCACAUAGGAGGGAAGAGAGAGACAGCUUCUCGAUGAUGUCAUCUGAACACCUGGAUCCUGCUGUGCCUGGACUUGCAGUCCCAUUGUCUACCAAUAUAGUUCAUUGAAUUCAACUUCAGCUGGAUGUCAUUCAUCUGCUUCCAGAACUUGUGUCUAAUGCAGAGCUGAAUGCAUACUCUCAGAGUUGGAAGUGGAUGCAAUCCACAAAUCUAGCACCCAAAUUUCUUUUUUCUGUUCUUUUUUUUUUUUAAUUUGAGAUGGAGUCUUGCUCUGUCACCCAGGCUGAAGUGUAGUGGCGCAAUCUCAGCUCACUGCAACCUCUGCCUCCCAGAUUCAAGCGAUCCUUCUGCCUCAGCCUCCCGAGUAGCUGGAAUUACAGGCGUGUGCCACCACGGCUGGCCUAAUUUUGGUAUUUUUAGUAGAGAUGGGGUUUCACCAUGUUGGCCAGGCUGAUAUCGAACUCCUGGCCUCAAGUGAUCUACCCCCCUUGGCCUCCCAAAGUGCUGGGAUUACAGGUGUGAACCACCAUGCCCGGCCUCAAAUUGCUUUUACAGAGGCAAGUGGCCACCGAGUCUGUGAUUGGGAUCCUCCUGUGGAGACCUGUGGAGACUCGUGGCUCACUACCUUUGAAGGCAGUGUUAGGGUAAUCUCUCCACAUUUCCCUGCUGAAAGCUCUGAGUGUUAGUAAAUUCCUUCUCAUAUUAGCUAAAAUGUAUUUUCCUGUGCCUUUUAUUCACUGAUGGGGAAUACAAGCAUUCUUUUUGAGGGUGGCCAAUGCUAGUAAUUCCCUCCAUACAGUCAGUGAUGGAUAGAGUUAACCCAUGGUUGCUGCAUGUAGUACUGUCACUUGCUGUACCACCAGGACUCAAGUUGAUGCUCAACGCAACAUUCUUUUGCAGGGCCCUUGUCCUCAGUUUCCCUUCUUUUGGGGUGGGCUGAGAGAGACAGCUUAUUCAGCAUGAAGCUGUAGUAUCUACAGUUUAGCAAAUGUCUGCGGAGCCUUUAAAGCAGUUUUUAUCAUAAUAAAAAUAUUUUAACUUAUAACCCCAGAAAGAGAUAGGCAUGGGAGUCUUUAUACAGCACAGAAAUCCAGAUGAGCAUAAUUUGAAAGUCAUUUGAAUUGUAAUGAGUAUUUUUAAUGUAAACAGGCAGGAGGAAAAACUUGCUGGGUUCUCUUGUAGCACAGACACCCAGAUAUAUGUCUUUUGAUAGUGAUAUUAAAGUGUCAAGGGUGCAUAGGAGGCUGCAGAUGUCAGCGGCAUGAAUGGGCAAGGCAAUUUCUGUGGUUGCAGGCUGGAGGUUCCAGCAGGAAUAGAAAGGCAAUCUCUGUGCUAGAUGGCCCAGGGUCACUGCAAGUCUAGCUCCUAAAUGAAAAUCAGGGACAAGAUGUGGCCUGUAACCACAGUCACUGCUCUUCGUAAGGCUGGUGGAAAGGUGAACUGGAAAGGUUUUUAGGGUUAGGGAGAUACAGGAACUCCCAAACAUCAGGCACCUGAUAGCACUCUCCACCUAACAUCUGCAUUUAUAUUGACCUAAUGCAUCUGUUCAAUUUGUCUCAUUCUUUGUGCUCACACACAUUUAUUUGAAACAAAACUUUCCAUCAUUACUAUAGGUGAAAAUCCUUGAUCACUUGCCUUGAAUACAAGAAACCAUUAUUAAAUGCAAGCUAGAUAAUUUUGCUUGUCUUACAGCCAUGAGCCUUAAGUCUGUUCCCCCCACCCCCCCCCCCCCCCGCCUUUUUUUUUUGUUAAAAAGAUGAGCAAAAUGUGAGAAUGAUGCAAAAGAGAUCCUGGUACCAAAAGAAGCCUUCUAACUGGAUAUCAUCAGAGGGACAGAAAGAAUUAAAGUAUGGACAAAUUUCUCAAA